AACGAACGCUGGCGGCAGGCUUAACACAUGCAAGUCGAACGAGAUCUUCGGAUCUAGUGGCAGACGGGUGAGGAACACGUGGGAACAUCCCUUUCAGUUCGGAAUAACGUUGGGAAACUAACGCUAAUACCGGAUACGUCCUUCGGGAGAGAGAUUUAUCGCUGAAAGAUUGGCCCGCGUCUGAUUAGCUAGUUGGUGAGGUAAUGGCUCACCAAGGCUACGAUCAGUAGCUGAUCUGAGAGGAUGAUCAGCCACAUUGGGACUGAGACACGGCCCAAACUCCUACGGGAGGCAGCAGUGGGGAAUAUUGGACAAUGGGCGCAAGCCUGAUCCAGCCAUGCCGCGUGAGUGAUGAAGGCCUUAGGGUUGUAAAGCUCUUUCACCGAUGAAGAUAAUGACGGUAGUCGGAGAAGAAGCCCCGGCUAACUUCGUGCCAGCCGCCGCGGUAA
This 449-nucleotide ribosomal RNA is filed under the name uncultured bacterium. RNAcentral's name for it is "partial 16S ribosomal RNA". It matches the Rfam family "Bacterial small subunit ribosomal RNA", at positions 29 to 523 of the family's 1533-position model. The record is from RNAcentral.